This 253-nucleotide ribosomal RNA is filed under the name uncultured bacterium. RNAcentral describes it as "partial 16S ribosomal RNA". It matches the Rfam family "Bacterial small subunit ribosomal RNA", at positions 524 to 776 of the family's 1533-position model. The record is from RNAcentral.
UACAGAGGUCUCGAGCGUUAGGCGGAAUCACUGGGCUUAAAGCGUGUGUAGGCGGAUCGGUAAGUCCCUUGUGAAAUCCCACAGCUUAACUGUGGAACUGCUUGGUAUACUGCCAGUCUUGAGCCAGCUAGGGGCUACCGGAACAAAUGGUGGAGCGGUGAAAUGCGUAGAUAUCAUUUGGAACGCCAAUGGUGAAAACAGGUAGCUGGGGCUGUGCUGACGCUGAGACACGAAAGCCAGGGGAGCGAACGGG